This 440-nucleotide ribosomal RNA is filed under the name uncultured bacterium. RNAcentral describes it as "bacterial SSU rRNA". It matches the Rfam family "Bacterial small subunit ribosomal RNA", at positions 338 to 794 of the family's 1533-position model. The record is from RNAcentral.
CCUACGGGAGGCAGCAGUCGGGAAUAUUGCCCAAUGGACGCAAGUCUGAGGCAGCAACGCCGCGUGCGCGAUGAAGGCCUUCGGGUCGUAAAGCGCUUUUCGGGCGGAUGAGGAAGGACAGUACGCCCGGAAGAAGGGCCGGCUAACUACGUGCCAGCAGCCGCGGUAAAACGUAGGGCCCGAGCGUUAUCCGGAUUUACUGGGCGUAAAGCGCGUUGAGGCGGCGUGGCAAGUCGGGCAUGAAAUCUCUCGGCUCAACCGGGAGGGGCUGUCCGAUACUGCUGGGCUUGAGGGUCGGAGAGGGUGGUGGAAUUCCGGGUGUAGUGGUGAAAUGCGUAGAGAUCCGGAGGAACACCAGUGGCGAAAGCGGCCACCUGGCCGACGCCUGACGCUGUGGCGCGAAAGCUAGGGGAGCGAACGGGAUUAGAUACCCUUGUAGU